This 791-nucleotide ribosomal RNA is filed under the name uncultured archaeon. RNAcentral describes it as "bacterial SSU rRNA". It matches the Rfam family "Archaeal small subunit ribosomal RNA", at positions 85 to 879 of the family's 1478-position model. The record is from RNAcentral.
ACGGCUCAGUAACACGUGGAUAACAUGCCUUAAGGUGGGGGAUAAUCUCGGGAAACUGAGGAUAAUACCCCAUAGGUCUGAUCUGCUGGAAUGCUUUCAGGCCGAAAACUCCGGUGCCUUAGGAUUGGUCUGCGGUCUAUCAGGCUGUAGUGGGUGUAAUGGACCCACUAGCCCGUGACGGAUAUGGGCCUUGAGAGAGGGAGCCCAGAGAUGGACUCUGAGACAUGAGUCCAGGCCCUACGGGGCGCAGCAGUCGCGAAAACUUCGCAAUGGGGGCAACCCCGACGAGGGAAUUCCAAGUGCCAGCACUUUGUGUUGGCUGUUCUCCUGUCUAAAAAACAGGAGGAGUAAGGGGCGGGUAAGACGGGUGCCAGCCGCCGCGGUAAUACCCGCGCCCCUAGUGGUGGUCGAUAUUAUUGAGCCUAAAACGUCCGUAGCCGGUCUUCUAAAUCCUUGGGUAAAUCGGGCAGCUUAACUGUCCGAAGUCCGGGGAGACUGGGAGACUUGGGACCGGGAGAGGUCAGAGGUACUUCUGGGGUAGGGGUAAAAUCCUGUAAUCCUGGAAGGACCACCGGUGGCGAAGGCGUCUGACUAGAACGGAUCCGACGGUGAGGGACGAAGCCCUGGGGCGCAAACGGGAUUAGAUACCCCGGUAGUCCAGGGUGUAAACGCUGCGGGCUUGGUGUUGGGGGUCCUUAGUGGGCGCCCAGUGCCGGAGAGAAGUUGUUAAGCCUGCUGCUUGGGGAGUAUGUCCGCAAGGAUGAAACUUAAAGGAAUUGGCGGGGGAGCAC